RNAcentral lists this unclassified non-coding RNA (2930 nucleotides) under Hevea brasiliensis (rubber tree). Lineage: Eukaryota; Viridiplantae; Streptophyta; Magnoliopsida; Malpighiales; Euphorbiaceae. The record is from RNAcentral.
UAUACAAUGAAAACAGCUUCUGCAACUAUUCAGUACGAGAAUGAGCUUGGACAAUAUUACAAAUACGAAUUUACCAUGGAAGAGGAAACAUAGACAUGUAUCAGCAUUUCAAUCAGAAUUAUUUUAUUAGGGAUUAUUCAUCACUUUUUACUUGCUAGGCUACUGCUCAUAGCAGGUGGCAGCUACUCUUUAAAUAAACCAGUAGGAACAGAAUUUGUCCUUGCAUAAGGACAGCCUUUAAUAUCUUCAUAUAGAGAAUUAAUUUGCAGGAAUAAACUUGAUUGAGAUGCUGUUGACACAGUGACGUUCAUCUGUAGGAGUCUUGAACCCUUCACCUUUGAAAACAUGACCCAAGUGCCCCCCACAAGCUGCACAUGUGAUCUCAGUUCUCCUCCCAUCUGAGUCUGGCUGAAAUAUAUCCAUUGUUUCUAUUUUCAUUAAAUCCAACCAAAGAUGCCUACAAGUGGUAAAGACAUUAAAGUUUCAACUAAAUGAAAGAAAAAGAGCAAAACUCACAGAGCAAUUUAUGGCUCCAGGAAGACCUUCAUAGAAAGCAGGCCAACCACAACCAGAGUCAAAUUUGGUAACUGAUUUGUAAAGUGGCGUCCCACAAGCAGCACAAUUGUAAACUCCUUCACCAAAGCACUUAUCAUAUUCUCCUGUGAAUUUCAUCCUGUAUGUCAUGUCAUCAACACAGGCACAAUGAGAGAUACAGGAUCACAUUAAAUUACACAUCUUGAAGGUCAGAGACAGGCUGCCAAUCAUUGAAAUCUACAACUCAUUACUAGCGUAUAUUCAAGAAGAAUAAUCAAAAUAACUAUCAAACAAUGACAGGAGCCAGUCAUUCCAAUAGCAGGCAAUGAUAGAAGCAAAUUGUUAAAUUCCUUCAAAUUUUAAUUUGUUCUAUUUAACACAUAUCAUUUGGAAUCGCAUGAUGAAUAUUUUUCAUCAUACAAUCGUUUGAUCAUUCCAAUUAUUUCUAGCGAACACCUAAAUAGUGGUGUUGUGCACCGCGAAAACGCAUAAACUAUAAAGAAAUAAAAUAAAUACACAAAAUAUCAAUAUUUACAUGAUUCACCCUCUACCAUAAUCACAGGCAUCCACAGGCUCCAUUAUCCACUACAAUCAAGUAAUAAAUUAUCAUUACAGGCUCAAAACUAUAGUAACUCAAAAGAACUUCUAUACAGUACUUCUAUUAAUAAUGUUAGUACUCAGUCCUAAUUUACAUAAUAUAGGAAAUAUAACUCUAUCUUAUUCAAAAAUUUUCCUCUCACUCAAAUUAAGAAAAUAUCUUCCAAAUAAACUAAGAUUUUCUGUCAUAAAUCCAACAAUUUCCACAUUGACACAAAAUCCAUCAACCAUUGCAUACCUCAAAUUUUUUAGUGUUAUCAAAUCGGCAAAUUUUCCUACUUGAGCUUGAAUUUUUUAAAUCUUCUAUUCUUCGAUCUUCAUUUUGGAUAUAACUUGCUUCUUUCUUCAAAAAAAAAAUCUACGUAUCAUCAAUUUUCUUGAUUUUGCAUCAACAGCUUCACCUUAAUUUCAACUCUCCACCAUCAUCAUUGUUGCAUGUGCGACUUUUUACAUGUCUCAACAGCUUUACCUUCAACCAAACUCACCAAAAUUAUCCCCAUACCCAAUUGUUGUGCACUGCCAAAGCCUAUAAAUUAAAAAGAAAUAAAAUAAACACACAAAAAACCAAUAUUUACAUGGUUACUUUCUCCGCAUAGAACUACAUCUACGGGUAUGCAAUCAUCCGCUACAAUCAAAUGCUAAAUCAUUACAAGCUCAAAAUUAUAUUACCCUUAUUAGUUUAAUCCUCUCAGUCUCCUCUAGAUAUAACCUAAUAUAGUUACUACUUUAAUUAGUACACCAUCCAUAAAAGUAUCUUCAACUACAAUGGACAAUAAUACAUUUCUCUUGCAUUAUAUCCUUUCUCCACCUCAGGACAAAGCCCCUUUUUUUUACGAUAAGCGACAAACCCCACACCAUAAGCUAAAAGCCAAUAUCUUCGAUAGGAAAGUCACCCUCUAUGUGUAAAGCCAAAUUAAUCUCUACACAUUAGUCCUCACUCCUAAUCUAAUUAGGAAUACUAAUUUAGAAAUAAUAUUAAAAUAAGAGAUAUAUAGGUCCCACCCAAAUUGGGAAAAUUCUUUCGAAUUAACUAAGAUUUUGAGUCAUAAAUAAAAAUCCUUGUUCAGAAAUUAAUUCCUUCAUUAUUUAAGCUAAAAGGUGAAUAUUUGAUAGAAUAGAGAGAUUCCAAAACAUUUCUGGAAAACAAAAAAUUGAACUAAACAAAUGAGUUGUAAGAUCCACAAAAGAAAUGAAACGAUUCAUCAAAACGGCGGUCACUUCCAUUGUUGUACAGAAAGUAUAAUUAUUUUCACAUGCCAAUUGAAUUGAAGUAGUGAUACCACAAGAAUCCCAGCAACACCCCCAAAAAAUCAACAAUCUCUAAGCCUAAAAGUAGCUCGAUUUUAUCACAUCGACAAACUCAGUUUCAUAACAAAGAUAGAAUCGUAACUCCAAUCAUCCAAAGAGCCAGUAAUUCGACUGAAAUAGAAAAGUCGAAAUAAAUCAAACAUUACGGACUAAUUGUUCUAAUAUCAAAUGAUAAUAUAAUUGAGGAUAGAGCAAAAUUUGGAAUUUACUCAGUUCCUUUCUCCCGGAGAAUAUGAAAUUGCUCGGGAGAGAGAAUAGCCCGCCACUCUUCCUCCGUCUUUUGAAUCGAAGCUGGUGCAGCCAUCGCCAAUUAUCUACCUUUCUCUUCCCUCCAACGAGACUGACUCGAUCACUCGACUGCAGCUCAGAGGUAUAUUCUUUCUUUCUUUCUUUUUUUCUCCUUCAUCACUUGAAGAGAAUUUUUUUUUUUUUAAAUAAGAUUGUUUGUUUUUGAUUUAUUAUUUCUUUGUUCAGCUGUCGAUUUCAAAUAA